GAUAUGCUAUAAGGCGUAGGAACAGACACCUACAGAGGAUUGCGCAGUCAUCGCGAGUGAACCGGCAUAAGCUCAAAUGUGAAAUCCCCCGGGAAUUGUAAUCUGAAGAGAUUAGGGUCCGGCCGGCAGGGGUUAAGUCCACUCGGAAAGUGGCGCCACAGAGGGUGACAGCCCCGUGAACCCUCUUCUAACGCCCUCAUCCCAGAUCUCCAAGAGUCGAGUUGUUUGGGAAUGCAGCUCUAAGUGGGUGGUAAAUUCCAUCUAAAGCUAAAUACCGGCGAGAGACCGAUAGCGAACAAGUACAGUGAUGGAAAGAUGAAAAGCACUUUGAAAAGAGAGUGAAAAAGUACGUGAAAUUGUUGAAAGGGAAGGGCUUGCAAGCAGACACUUAACUGGGCCAGCAUCGGGGCGGCGGGGAGACAAAACCACCGGGGAAUGUACCUUUCGAGGAUUAUAACCCCGGUCUCAAUUCAAUAGCUAGCCCCGAGGCCUGCAAUCUAAGGAUGCUGGUCGUAAGGUCGCACAGUCGCUU
RNAcentral lists this ribosomal RNA (532 nucleotides) under Metschnikowia pulcherrima. Its description in RNAcentral is "partial large subunit ribosomal RNA". It matches the Rfam family "Eukaryotic large subunit ribosomal RNA", at positions 37 to 496 of the family's 3401-position model. Lineage: Eukaryota; Fungi; Ascomycota; Pichiomycetes; Serinales; Metschnikowiaceae. The record is from RNAcentral.